AAAGAGUUAGUUAAACUAUAACAUUAAAUUGUCAAAUUAAAAUUACCCUAGGUACUCUUGG
RNAcentral lists this transfer RNA (61 nucleotides) under Eulimnogammarus verrucosus. Its description in RNAcentral is "tRNA-Asp". The record is from RNAcentral. Lineage: Eukaryota; Metazoa; Arthropoda; Malacostraca; Amphipoda; Eulimnogammaridae.